AAGCAGCAAAGCCGCGAGGUGGAGCGAAUCUCCAAAAAUUGUCCCAGUUCAGAUUGCAGGCUGCAACUCGCCUGCAUGAAGUCGGAAUUGCUAGUAAUCGUGGAUCAGCAUGCCACGGUGAAUACGUUCCCGGGCCUUGUACACACCGCCCGUCACACCAUGGGAGUCGGUAACACCCGAAGCCUGUAGUCUAACCGCAAGGAGGACGCCGCCGAAGGUGGGGUUGAUGAUUAGGGUUAAGUCGUAACAAGGUAAC
This 256-nucleotide ribosomal RNA is filed under the name uncultured bacterium. RNAcentral describes it as "partial 16S ribosomal RNA". It matches the Rfam family "Bacterial small subunit ribosomal RNA", at positions 1244 to 1500 of the family's 1533-position model. The record is from RNAcentral.